This 465-nucleotide ribosomal RNA is filed under the name uncultured bacterium. RNAcentral describes it as "partial 16S ribosomal RNA". It matches the Rfam family "Bacterial small subunit ribosomal RNA", at positions 28 to 507 of the family's 1533-position model. The record is from RNAcentral.
GACGAACGCUGGCGGCGUGCUUAACACAUGCAAGUCGUACGGUAAGGCCCUUUCGGGGGUACACGAGUGGCGAACGGGUGCGUAACACGUGAGUAACCUGCCCACAACUUUGGGAUAACGCUAGGAAACUGGUGCUAAUACUGGAUAUGUGCUCCUGCUGCAUGGUGGGGGUUGGAAAGCUCCGGCGGUUGUGGAUGGACUCGCGGCCUAUCAGCUUGUUGGUGGGGUAGUGGCCUACCAAGGCGGCGACGGGUAGCCGGCCUGAGAGGGUGACCGGCCACAUUGGGACUGAGAUACGGCCCAGACUCCUACGGGAGGCAGCAGUGGGGAAUAUUGCACAAUGGGCGCAAGCCUGAUGCAGCAACGCCGCGUGCGGGAGAACGGCCUUCGGGUUGGAAACCGCUUUCAGCAGGGACGAAGCUUUUUGUGACGGUACCUGCAGAAGAAGCACCGGCUAACUACGUG